RNAcentral lists this ribosomal RNA (502 nucleotides) under uncultured Glomeromycotina. RNAcentral's name for it is "partial small subunit ribosomal RNA". It matches the Rfam family "Eukaryotic small subunit ribosomal RNA", at positions 591 to 1092 of the family's 1831-position model. Lineage: Eukaryota; Fungi; Glomeromycota. The record is from RNAcentral.
CCAAUAGCGUAUAUUAAAGUUGUUGCAGUUAAAAAGCUCGUAGUUGAACUUCGGGGUUUACUCAUUGGUCAGGCUUAAUUGUCUGUACUGGUGAGAUGAAUCUCUACCUUCUGAGGAACUUUCAUGCCAUUUAUUUGGUGUGAUGGGAAAUCAGGACUGUUACUUUGAAAAAAUUAGAGUGUUUAAAGCAGGCUAACGUCUGAAUACAUUAGCAUGGAAUAAUGAAAUAGGACGGAUUGAUUCUAUUUCGUUGGUUUCUAGGAUCACCGUAAUGAUUAAUAUGGAUAGUUGGGGGCAUUAGUAUUCAAUUGUCAGAGGUGAAAUUCUUGGAUUUAUUGAAGACUAACUACUGCGAAAGCAUUUGCCAAGGAUGUUUUCAUUAAUCAAGAACGAAAGUUAGGGGAUCGAAGACGAUCAGAUACCGUCGUAGUCUUAACCAUAAACUAUGCCGACUAGGGAUCGGACGAAGUUAAUUUUAUAAUGACGCGUUCGGCACCUUACG